RNAcentral lists this ribosomal RNA (490 nucleotides) under uncultured bacterium. Its description in RNAcentral is "bacterial SSU rRNA". It matches the Rfam family "Bacterial small subunit ribosomal RNA", at positions 34 to 491 of the family's 1533-position model. The record is from RNAcentral.
GAAUUCACUAGUGAUUCAGGCCUAACACAUGCAAGUCGAACGCAUUUCUUUUCACCGGAGCUUGCUCCACCGAAAAGAAAUGAGUGGCGGACGGGUGAGUAACACGUGGGCAACCUGCCCAUCAGAGGGGGAUAACACUUGGAAACAGGUGCUAAUACCGCAUAAUUGAUUUUACCGCAUGGUGGAAUCAUAAAAGACGCUUUAAGUGUCACUGAUGGAUGGGCCCGCGGUGCAUUAGUUAGUUGGUGGGGUAAUGGCCUACCAAGACCAUGAUGCAUAGCCGACCUGAGAGGGUGAUCGGCCACACUGGGACUGAGACACGGCCCAGACUCCUACGGGAGGCAGCAGUAGGGAAUCUUCGGCAAUGGACGGAAGUCUGACCGAGCAACGCCGCGUGAGUGAAGAAGGUUUUCGGAUCGUAAAACUAAGGGUUAGAGAAGAAUAAGUGAUAGAGUAACUGUUAUCACCUUGACGGUAUCUAACCAGAAGC